GACGAACGCUGGCGGCGUGCUUAACACAUGCAAGUCGAACGGAAAGGCCCUGCUUUUGUGGGGUGCUCGAGUGGCGAACGGGUGAGUAACACGUGAGUAACCUGCCCUUGACUUUGGGAUAACUUCAGGAAACUGGGGCUAAUACCGGAUAGGAGCUCCUGCUGCAUGGUGGGGGUUGGAAAGUUUCGGCGGUUGGGGAUGGACUCGCGGCUUAUCAGCUUGUUGGUGGGGUAGUGGCUUACCAAGGCUUUGACGGGUAGCCGGCCUGGGAGGGUGACCGGCCACAUUGGGACUGAGAAACGGCCCAGACUCCUACGGGGGGCAGCAGUGGGGAAUAUUGCACAAUGGGCGGAAGCCUGAUGCAGCAACGCCGCGUGCGGGAUGACGGCCUUCGGGUUGUAAACCGCUUUCGCCUGUGACGAAGCGUGAGUGACGGUAAUGGGUAAAGAAGCACCGGCUAACUACGU
This 467-nucleotide ribosomal RNA is filed under the name uncultured bacterium. RNAcentral's name for it is "partial 16S ribosomal RNA". It matches the Rfam family "Bacterial small subunit ribosomal RNA", at positions 28 to 506 of the family's 1533-position model. The record is from RNAcentral.